GCCUUGCACAGUGGCGCAUGCCUGUAGUCCCAGCUACUCGGGAGGCUGAGGUGGGAUGAUUGCUUGAGCCCAGGAAUUCUAGGAUGUAGCACAGUGUACAGAUCGGGUGUGUGCACUAAGGUCAGGGUCAAUGUGGUGACCUCCCGGGAACAGGGGCCACCAGGUUGCCCAAGGAGGGGUGAACCAGCCCAGAGCAUAAACAGAGCAGGUCAAAACAAUCAGUAGUGGGAUCGAGUCUGUGAAUAACCGCUGUACUCCAGCCUGGGGAACAUAAACGAGACCCCUGUCUCU
RNAcentral lists this signal recognition particle RNA (291 nucleotides) under Microcebus murinus (gray mouse lemur). Its description in RNAcentral is "Metazoan signal recognition particle RNA (ENSMICG00000034896.2)". It matches the Rfam family "Metazoan signal recognition particle RNA". From Rfam's summary of the family: The signal recognition particle (SRP) is a universally conserved ribonucleoprotein. It is involved in the co-translational targeting of proteins to membranes. The eukaryotic SRP consists of a 300-nucleotide 7S RNA and six proteins: SRPs 72, 68, 54, 19, 14, and 9. Lineage: Eukaryota; Metazoa; Chordata; Mammalia; Primates; Cheirogaleidae. The record is from RNAcentral.